Sorghum bicolor (sorghum) is the source of this 3707-nucleotide RNA transcript. It is a transcript of the gene named protein PHOX4, with no coding region annotated. NCBI's taxonomy places the organism in Eukaryota, Viridiplantae, Streptophyta, Magnoliopsida, Poales, Poaceae. The transcript has 3 exons. The record is from RefSeq and is a predicted model, not a curated record.
CUUUGUCAGUUUCUCCAUUCCUCUUGCACACCUUUAGUUUUGUUUUCUCUGUUCUGUCCUCUGAUUUGGGACAACUCCCACCGAUUCCCACUUUCGUUUACAUAGUAGCAUUAUUUUCAGUGAAUUGUCAAUGGAAUUACCCAUGUAGGGUAAGUUUCCCACUUGAAUGGGGGGAAGAGGAAGGUGCGGAUCCUUGUUGCCCAGUUCGUCUUUCCCAUAUCUCAAUUUCUUUGUUGCUGUUCCUGCUGCAAAUUUUGUAUCUAUCUCUCUCUCUAUAUAUAAAGAAAGCUGGAAGAAGAUACAACAAAUCUUGAUUGGUGGUGGUUCCUGAAACAAGAGUCAAGAGGGGGCCAAAAAUAAGUUGAAGCCCAUUUAUUUGGACAGAACAAAAGAAGAGGGACAUUGUAAAUUGGAUUAUUGCAAUCUGCCAUAUAUAUAUAUAGUUAUUGCAUUUCAUACUACAACUGAGGUAUGGGGAAGACACCAAAGAAGAAGAAACUAAGUGAAUCGGGAUCGAGGCAGAGCCUAGGCGGCGGCAGCCCCAGGACCAGCAGGUGCAACUCAAGGAGCAGCCAAUGCAGCGGAGGAGAACAGACGAGCCCCAAUCAUCCAGCUUCAGCAGCGCUAGCAGUGGAUGACGACGAUGCCGUCUUCAUUGGGCUGGCCUCCGAACUGAAGGAGGAAGGCACGAAGCUGUUCCAAACAAGGGACUAUGAGGGGGCAGCGUUCAAGUUUGACAAGGCGAUCAAGCUAUUGCCACAGGGGCAUAACGAUAUGGCCUUCCUACACUGCAACAUUGCAGCAUGCUACAUGCACAUGAAUCCUGAGGAGUAUCAUCGUGCCAUCGACGAGUGUAACUCGGCGCUAGAGGCGUCACCGACGUACACCAAGGCACUGCUCAAGAGGGCCCGGUGUUUCGAAGCACUAGACAGGCUGGAUCUAGCUUGUAAGGAUGUGGAGAAGGUUCUGAGCUUGGAGCCGAACAACGUGACGGCAUCAGAACUCUACGAGAGUAUUAAGGAGGUGAUGGAGAUGGAGGAGCAGGUCUCAUCGCUGGAGAAACAACGGCAGGUUGACGAGCCUACCGCAAUUAAUAUCGCAAAGGAGAGGAUACAAAGGAGGGUGUCGCGGAAAUUUAGAAAUUCCAUAGUCGAGGAGGAGGUUUGGGAGAUGAUGAUUCAUGAGAAUAAUGAAGAGCAGGAGGAGGAUGAUCAUGGGAAUAAUAACAAUAAUAAUGAGGAUGGCGAGAAACAUAGAAGCAGUAAAGAAGACGCCAUUAGCGAGUUGCAGGAGAAGCGCAGCAGCAGCCUGCAGGACAAGCAGCAGCAUCGUGAAGAGAGAGAGACCAAAACCUUCAGGAGCACCGCCGAGUGCAACAUGCAUUCCCUAGGUGGCGUAAGAAAUACUAACAAGGAAGCAGGGGGAGGGGGGAGGAGGCAUGCCCAAGCCCAAGAUAGCCAUGAAAAGCAUCUGGAGGAGAUACUGGUGAAAGGCAUCCAGCCUUCUGAGAUGCAGGGAAAGCACACGACAACACAGAAUCAAGCAGCCAGCAGCGUGGAGAGGCGUAAUAAGAAGAAUUUUGAGGUCGGCAGCCAUAGCAAGCAAGAGAAGCAGCAGCAGUAUGAGAGGUACACCAACGCCAACGCCAACGUAAGCCUGCAGGGGAAGCACUCCUUGGUGGAGGAAAAGUACGAGAUGAGGUAUAUGCUGCCAGAAAAGCAGAUCACUACCAUCAAAGCGGGAAAUAACUACUACGCUAGAGAAAAGCAUCCGAAAUACUAUGCUAGUAGGGAGAAUCAGAAUCAUGAAGCUGCCACUGCCAGCAGAGAAGUGGUAAAGAAGAAAUUCAAGUUCGUCCACGGGGAUGACAUACGGAUUGUUUUAAUUCCAGAAAGUUGCAGCCUGUUGCAUGUGAUGGACAUCGCUCGGUACAAGUAUAACCCACACCUCAAGUCUUUCCUUCUGAAAUUUAUGGACAAAGAGGGGGACCUGGUGACCAUCACCUCCACCGAAGAUUUACGGUGGGUCGAGGACCUCUACCCGCAAGUCCCCGUGCGGCUGCAUAUAAAAGAGGUGAGUCCCGAGCGGGAGAUCACUAGGGACCUGGUGAUGCCCAUGUCCUCCUCCUUGGCGGCGGAACACCGAGAACAACCGAGCCAUUACUACAGCAGCACCUCCGAUGACUAUGAGUGUGGAAGCUCGAAGAAGGAUGCAGACGAACGGAAUACUCAUCCUCCCUGCUGCACCACCGAUGACUGGAUGAUGCAGUUCGCUCGCCUAUUCAAGAACCACGCUGGCUUCGAUUCUGAUGCAUGUGUGGAUCUCCGUGACCUUGGCAUCCGGCUCUACUAUGAGGCCAUGGAGGACACCAUCACAAGCGAAGAAGCACAGGAGAUAUUUCAAGCGGCAGAGGCCAAGUUUCAGGAAAUGGCGGCGCUGGCAUUGUUCAAUUGGGGUAACGUCCACAUGUCCCGUGCAAGGAAGCGACUCAUUCUAUCUGAAGAUACCUCUAAGGAGUCCAUACUUGCCCAGGUGAAGUCUGCAUACGAAUGGGCCUGCACUGAGUAUGUCAAGGCCGGGAAGAAGUUUGAAGAUUCUGUGGAUGUAAAGCCUGACUUUUAUGAAGGCCUGAUUGCGCUUGGGCAGCAACAGUUUGAGCAGGCCAAGCUUUCUUGGCGUUACGCUGACACGUGCAAAGUAGACAUGGGAACCGAAGUGUUAGAACUCUUCAACCAUGCUGAAGACAACAUGGAAAAGGGAAUGGAGAUGUGGGAAGGGAUCGAGUAUCUGCGAGUCAAAGGGCUGUCUAAGUCAAGGAAGGGCAAGAUUGUAGUGACGGAUAAACUGGGUCUCAAUGAGCAGGGAAAAGAUAAUUUAUCGCCCGAUGAAGCCUUUGAACAGGCCUCAAACAUGCGUUCGCAGCUAAACAUUUCAUGGGGCACGAUUCUUUACGAACGCUCAGUAGUAGAAUUCAAGUUAGGACUCUCUAGCUGGGAGGAGAGUCUUCAAGAAGCCAUUGAAAAAUUUAAGACCGGAGGAGCUUCUGUAGCAGACAUCAGUGUCAUGGUAAAGAAUCACUGUGUCAACGGAAACAACCAAGAAGGAUUAAGCUUCAACAUUGAUGAGAUUGUCCAAGCAUGGAAUGAAAUGUACGAUGCUAAAAAGUUAAAAAAUGGUAGUUCUUCUUUCCGGCUCGAACCUAUAUUUCGAAGGAGGCCUUCAAAGCUGCAUAAUAUACUAGAGCACAUACACUACACGUGAGCUUGUAUCAAUCAUUAUUGGACUUCGAUACUGCAUACUUGGAUUCGAAUGUUGAUAAAUAUUUUCUUGUGAAAUAGGAGAACAUUAUGCUAUAGUCGUCGCUGAAAUGAGAAUGGUUUGAACACGGUUUUGCACACUAGUAUUUUGAUUUGUACUGCAUUAACACGUCCAAAGCGGUGUUUUCCGAACACGAGCAGAGCGAGUUGCUCAGAAUGCUGUUUUCUAGAGUAAAGAAUAUAGCAUCAAGUUUCACCUGUACAAAUGCCCUAAGUUUGUAUUGUAGAAAAAUAGAAAACUCAGCUGAAUUGUAACUUUGUAGAUGAAACACAUGAGUGAAAAGUUCGAAGUCAUGGAUUCUCCAGGAGAUACAACUUUUUUUCUAGAAAGAUUUCUGUAAAUUUUUCAGUGCAUGAGGUUAUUUUGUUCGUAUGAGAAUAUCUGCCAAA